ACGCACGCUGGCGGCGUGCUUAACACAUGCAAGUCGAACGGAAAGGCCCUGCUUUUGUGGGGUGCUCGAGUGGCGAACGGGUGAGUAACACGUGAGUAACCUGCCCUUGACUUUGGGAUAACUUCAGGAAACUGGGGCUAAUACCGGAUAGGAGCUCCUGCUGCAUGGUGGGGGUUGGAAAGUUUCGGCGGUUGGGGAUAGACUCGCGGCUUAUCAGCUUGUUGGUGGGGUAGUGGCUUACCAAGGCUUUGACGGGUAGCCGGCCUGAGAGGGUGACCGGCCACAUUGGGACUGAGAUACGGCCCAGACUCCUACGGGAGGCAGCAGUGGGGAAUAUUGCACAAUGGGCGGAAGCCUGUUGCAGCAACGCCGCGUGCGGGAUGACGGCCUUCGGGUCGUAAACCGCUUUCGCCUGUGACGAAGCGUGAGUGACGGUAAUGGGUAAAGAAGCACCGGCUAACUACGUG
Molecule: ribosomal RNA, 467 nt
Filed under: uncultured bacterium
Lineage: Bacteria
Description: partial 16S ribosomal RNA
Rfam family: Bacterial small subunit ribosomal RNA
Source: RNAcentral